RNAcentral lists this long non-coding RNA (427 nucleotides) under Homo sapiens (human). RNAcentral describes it as "novel transcript, antisense to ARHGAP15". Lineage: Eukaryota; Metazoa; Chordata; Mammalia; Primates; Hominidae. The record is from RNAcentral.
GUGGUUUCAGAGCUCCCAGAACUUUGCACAUAACUCCCUAUGUCAGAGUGGGCAGAAAGGGUGAAAAUCAGCUUUGAGGUCUUCAGUUAUUUGCUGGACAAUUCCCUGAUGAUAUUAAAGCACCCAGUAGAAGAAUGUGCCUUAUCAAAAACAUAUAUCAAUCAUGAUGAACCUUUAAAAUAUAUUAGUUGAUUGCUUACGGCUGUUUUAGACUAAAAGACCAACACAAAAUGGGUUAAAGACGCUAACCACUUUCAAACAACCAUCUGAGAAAACUAAUUCCCAACGUAUUGGAGUAGAUGAGAGAAUAAAAGGUGUGUUAUUGAAAGGGAAUUUGGAACAAGUAAUCGUUCUGAAUGUGUGUACAUCAGAGACUCCUCAAAGCCUGCCUGGCAAUCUGUUUUUUAUGGUCUCUUCUCCUCAACAG